RNAcentral lists this unclassified non-coding RNA (391 nucleotides) under soil metagenome. RNAcentral's name for it is "partial contains 5.8S ribosomal RNA, internal transcribed spacer 2, and large subunit ribosomal RNA". The stretch from base 1 to 122 matches the Rfam family "5.8S ribosomal RNA", at positions 35 to 154 of the family's 154-position model. The record is from RNAcentral.
GAUGAAGAACGUAGCAAAAUGCGAUACUUGGUGUGAAUUGCAGAAUCCCGUGAACCAUCGAGUUUUUGAACGCAAGUUGCGCCCGAAGCCUUUUGGCCGAGGGCACGCCUGCCUGGGCGUCACACGUCGUUGCCCCCCCAUCUACUCCUUCGGGAUUGCGGGGGGCGGAUGAUGGCCUCCCGUGCGCCUCGUCGCGCGGUUGGCCUAAAUGCCAAGUCCUCGGCGACGCACGCCACGACAAUCGGUGGUUGCGAAACCUCGGUUGCCUGUCGUGUGCGGUCGUCGCGCAUCGAGGGCUCGAAAAAAUUGCCGGGCUUCGGCUCGACUUUCAACGCGACCCCAGGUCAGGCGGGGUUACCCGCUGAAUUUAAGCAUAUCAAUAAGCGGAGGA